AAAUCUGCAUUAAGAUACACAGUCCAUUAAAGUGCAGCUUGUUAUGUUUAAUCACAAUAAGACACGGCCAACAGAUUCUCCUCAUGUUUUGAAGAACCAAUUUGUGUUCAGAAUGUUUACAGUGAAAAAGACAGGCACAAAUUCAUCUCGUUUAACAUGCAAGUUGUGGCAUAAGCACAAUUUUUAUGACCUGUGAUACUAUCUGCCCUGAUGAUAAUGAUGAUGGCAACUCUUGGGUCACUUAUUGGGGCAGAUCACUCUCUCUCUGAUUGCUUUGGAGGAACCAUUCUGCAGACUACAGUGCAAAACUGACAUUGUUUUUGGUUGGAGGCUUCCACUGCAAGAUUCAGAUAAGUGCACAUUUUGAAGGAUUGCUGUAUCCCCUCAGUCAUGAAGCUCACUGGGUGACCUUGGGCCAGUCGCAGUCUCUCAGCCUAACCUACCUCACAAGACUGUUGGAUAAGAUGAGGAAGGGGAAGAACAGUGUGCGUGACCUUGAGCUCCUUGAAGGAAAGAAGAUCCCAGCUCCAAUCCCUGACAAAUUAAAAGACAACCAGGCAGCAAGUGAUGUGAAAUAUAUCUGCCUGAGAUCCUGCUGAGCCCCUACUGGUCCAAAUAGACAAUACUGGAUUAGAUGGAGAAAUGGACAGACCUGUUAGUGACUGUGCCAUGUCCCAGCGCCUACUCCAACCUGGGGAAUUGUGGUUGUCCUAUCAGCCAGCCCUUAGGUCUGCGGCUGCUGUUGCUGAAUGCCAGGUGGAUGCAAGACGUCCCUCAUCCAUGAUCUCAUUGUAGAUGAUGGCAGCCAACAAACUGAAGCUCAAUCCAGCAACCCUGCAUCCCUCUGAAUGGCAAGCAAAGGGCCUGCUAUCUAUGGACUGCUUGGAUUGACACGUGAUCCAUGUGCUCAAAAUGGCAAUGGAACAGCUGCUCUGGGUUUAAUUUGAAAGUCUCUGCCUUGAAUGCCAAAAACCUUGUGGGCGGAAUCUAUCACCAAUCAAGAAAAGCUUAUGAACAGAGAAGGAUUCAUUAAAAUUAUAGAUGUCAGCAGCAGUGAGGGAGAAAUGAGUGCUACGUUCUUACUUAGUUGGAUGCUGUUGUUUACUAAUGAUUUUGUCUGGGUUAAUCUGAAGGCCACCUUUGCUGCUCAGUAAAAGACAACAUAGCAUGUUAAGAAGAACAAAGAAAAUGCAGGACGAUACAUGACAUGGUUAGUUAAGAGAUUUCCCCAUCACCAAUACAUGUUUAGUUUGUUUCCUCCGGACUAAACAAACAAAUUAACCCUCACCAUUCAGAUCACCAGUGUUGGCAAAAGGGCAAUGUCUAACCCUUGAAGAAGGCUCUUGCCCUGGGCAUGCCAGUUUAUAUCCCGUUUAAUUUCAUGCUCAUUAGGAUGUCCUCUGCCACAGCCAGCCCUCCAUCACCUAGGUGAGUUUCUAAGAUGAACAGAGCUAACAUAAAUUGACAAUGAAGAGAAUCUCUCUCUGUACUGUUUUCCUAGAACUUCAUUCUGAAAAGAAGUAUCUGCAUCACCUAAGGCUUUGUCAUUAACAUUUGUGAAUUGUACCAUUUGAAGCAGGUUUGUAUUUUCAGGAGCAUGGCUUGUGAAGGGAAGGAGCUUUAACCCUUUGCCCCAGCCAUUGGCCCAGUUGGAAUUGCCCUCUCCCCCACCAUGCCUGCUAUUCACAGAGGAUUCCUAUGACUGUGAGUGGUGAGAAGUUCCAGGAGCAAAACUGCCAGGUUUAGGUUCUUUUGGAUGAGAGUGCCCCAGAGACUUCAAAAGUUUGCUUUAUUUAUAAGUGGAGCAUAGUGGAAGCAAGCCGUUGGAGCAGGUGGCCAUCAUUGCCUAUUGUGGGAAGGAAUUCCACAGUGUAACUACGUGUUGUGUGAAGAAGCACCUUCUUUGUCCGUCCACAUUUAAUGGCUGGCAAAAAAUCUGGAUUCGAACAGUGACAUGUGUGCACACAAGUGGACUGGCACGAGACAAAGCAGAUGGAGUCAUUAUGGGCACAGCUGUCACACACCAAAAUGACUGUGUGAACUGGGCUUGAGAUGAAAUUGCUUCUAGCCUUUUCCAGUAGGCAGACCUUCACAGUAAGAUUCUAGGAUUAACCAAGGAAUAGUUGGACUUAAUUUUAUGAGCCCUUUAACAUUUUUUGGUGUAUUUCAUAGCCAGGCAGGCUGAUCCUAUGAACUGGUAGGAGACUGUAGGUUUGUGUGUGCUCUUGGUGUGAACUGUAUGCCUGAUGAUAUAGACUGUGCUCUUAGCAAUGCAGUAGCUCAAUGGAUAGUGCUGUAAUCGUCCCUGUGAACCUAGAGGCUCUUACCUGUAGAACAAUUGCAGGCACUGAGAAAAUCAUGGCUUCAUUAAACACUGGGUUUGUGUCA
This is a long non-coding RNA of Podarcis raffonei (Aeolian wall lizard), 2388 nucleotides long. RefSeq lists it as uncharacterized. Lineage: Eukaryota; Metazoa; Chordata; Lepidosauria; Squamata; Lacertidae. The record is from RefSeq and is a predicted model, not a curated record. The transcript is spliced from 6 exons.